CCAACCAGCUGAGGCUGCAGCUGCAGCAGCGCCUGCAGGGCCAGCAGCAGUUGCUGCAGCAGAACCGCCAGGCGGCGCUGCUGGGUCACUUCGGGCCGCCCGUGGGGCUCUCGCUGCGCGCCGGGAUCCCGCAGCAGCAGCAGCCGCAGCCGCAGCCGCCCCUGAACGCGCAGAUGCUGGCGCAGCGGCAGCGGGAGCUCUACAGCCAGCAGCACCGGCAGCGGCAGCUGAUGCAGCAGCACGCGCUCCUCAUGCGCCAGCAGCAGCAGCAGCAGCAGCAGCAGCAGCAGCAGCAGCAGCAGAGUUUCGGGAAUUCCGCGCUGGGGACGCCCCUGGGAGCGCCCAUGGGGACGGCCCGGCCGCAGUUCCCCUUCCCGCCGGAGUGCGGUACGGC
This is a long non-coding RNA of Camarhynchus parvulus, 394 nucleotides long. RefSeq lists it as uncharacterized. NCBI's taxonomy places the organism in Eukaryota, Metazoa, Chordata, Aves, Passeriformes, Thraupidae. The record is from RefSeq and is a predicted model, not a curated record. The transcript is spliced from 3 exons.